RNAcentral lists this small RNA (532 nucleotides) under Schizosaccharomyces pombe (fission yeast). RNAcentral's name for it is "small heterochromatic RNA precursor". Lineage: Eukaryota; Fungi; Ascomycota; Schizosaccharomycetes; Schizosaccharomycetales; Schizosaccharomycetaceae. The record is from RNAcentral.
GUUUAAUCGUAGUAGAUAAACAAGCAAUGAGUAAGAAAAAAAAUGUAGUACGACGAUGAUGUGUUUUCUCAAGAUGAUAACGGAUCUAGCUUCGCCAUCAAUAAGUAUGAGACAAAGGAGUCCAUCUUUGAUGAAACAUCCAUUUGCCUGUUGUACAUUUUUGCAGGACAACCAGCCUGAGCACAAGAGACAUGGUGUACUAGACUUUGUGCGGAAUGUCUACUUCAAAACUCGCAUCUUUAUAUCUGAUAUAUAGAGAUAUAGAGAUAUAGAGAGAGGCUGAUGAUUUAUAAACACAAACGAUAAGACUUGUAACAUGAAGUUUAUCGAAAAAGUCAAUCUUUAAAUUCCUUUCUGAACCUCUCUGUUAUGUCAGUGCUUCGGUACCAUGCUUUUAGUGCGGUCAUUUAAAGGCAUAGCGAUGAUAGUUCUAAAGUUACUGUAUUGAUCAAUUGGAAGAACAUCCAAAUAAAAAAAAGUAUGCAAAAUGCUAGUAUUAUCAGUAACUGCAAAUAAAAAAAAAAAAAAAAAA